CAGAGCCACUGACACACCAGCAGCACAAUGAUGAUGUCACUGACUCUACUGCUGACCAUCCUGGGGCUCCUGGUUCAGAGUUCUUCAGGAGACAUCAUCUUGACUCUGACUCCUGGAGCUCAGUCUGCUGUUCAGGGACAGACCGUCUCCAUCAGGUGUAAAUCUGACCGACUGAUAGGUGAUGACAUCAACUGGUAUCUUCAGAAGCCUGGAGAAGCUCCCAAACUUUUGAUUUAUGAUACCACAGAACGUCAGUCUGGAGUUCCUGAGCGUUUUCGUGCAAAAGCAGAACAGACUGACUUCACUUUAACCAUCAGUGGAGUUCAGGUUGAGGAUGCAGGAGUUUACUAUUGUCAGCAACGUAACAGCUUCCCACUCACACAGUGAUACAAGGCCGUACAAAAACCUCAGAGAGAAAGAGGAACUGAUCUGACUCAAAAUGUUACAGGGGAAAAAAUCAUAAUUUUAAUAAACUAAAGACAAAUUAUUUUCUAUUAAUUAAUAAUAAGAGCAAUACAGUUCCUGUUUGAAAGCUUUUUUGAUU
Non-coding RNA from Xiphophorus maculatus (southern platyfish), 544 nucleotides. The record is from the annotation of a RefSeq genome assembly. NCBI's taxonomy places the organism in Eukaryota, Metazoa, Chordata, Actinopteri, Cyprinodontiformes, Poeciliidae.